RNAcentral lists this unclassified non-coding RNA (289 nucleotides) under uncultured fungus. RNAcentral's name for it is "partial contains small subunit ribosomal RNA, internal transcribed spacer 1, and 5.8S ribosomal RNA". The stretch from base 1 to 73 matches the Rfam family "Eukaryotic small subunit ribosomal RNA", at positions 1759 to 1831 of the family's 1831-position model. The record is from RNAcentral. Lineage: Eukaryota; Fungi.
GCAAACUUGGUCAUUUAGAGGAAGUAAAAGUCGUAACAAGGUUUCCGUAGGUGAACCUGCGGAAGGAUCAUUAUUGAAUCUCCAAUGUAAAGGGCUGUUGCUGGCAUAACUUGCAUGUGCACGCUCAAUACAACCACACCUGUGCACCUAUUGACUGAAGCCUUCUGUCUGGAGGGUGGAUGUCCUUAAUACACACACUUUUUUAUAAAACUUGUUUGACAUAUAAAUGUAUUAAAUGACAACUUUCAACAACGGAUCUCUUGGCUCUCGCAUCGAUGAAGAACGCAGC